This 442-nucleotide ribosomal RNA is filed under the name uncultured bacterium. RNAcentral describes it as "partial 16S ribosomal RNA". It matches the Rfam family "Bacterial small subunit ribosomal RNA", at positions 338 to 795 of the family's 1533-position model. The record is from RNAcentral.
CCUACGGGAGGCAGCAGUGGGGAAUAUUGCACAAUGGGCGCAAGCCUGAUCCAGCAACGCCGCGUGAGCGAAGAAGGUCUUCGGAUCGUUAAGCUCUGUCCUUGAGGGAGAAGGAAGUGACGGUACUCAAGGAGGAAGCCUCGGCUAACUACGUGCCAGCAGCCGCGGUAAUACGUAGGGGGCAAGCGUUAUACGGAAUCAUUGGGCGUAAAGAGUACGUAGGUGGGUGUGUAAGCGCGGGGUGAAAGGCAGUGGCUUAACCAUUGUAAGCCUUGCGAACUGCAAGACUUGAGUGCAGGAGAGGAAAGCGGAAUGCGUGGUGUAGCGGUGAAAUGCAUAGAUAUUAGGAGGAACACCAGUGGCGAAGGCGGCAUUCUGGACUGUAACUGACACUGAGGUACGAAAGCGUGGGGAGCAAACAGGAUUAGAUACCCGGGUAGUC